RNAcentral lists this long non-coding RNA (1324 nucleotides) under Heterocephalus glaber (naked mole-rat). RNAcentral describes it as "lncRNA (ENSHGLG00000048350.1)". Lineage: Eukaryota; Metazoa; Chordata; Mammalia; Rodentia; Bathyergidae. The record is from RNAcentral.
CUCUGAGAUUUGUGGCUUGUCCCUGGGACUGGGCCCACUUCUGGUUCCUGCUGGAUGAGGUCAGGAGAACAGAACAAGCCUCCACCUCAAGCCUGUACAACCAACUGUCCCAGGGGUUGGGUGUAGGUAGCACCAAGAAGAUGAGAUGCUAUAAACAAUAAGUUAGAACAGUAGCCAGAAAACCCAGGAAUGAAUGAAUGAUGUGGGGAGAUUGCAUCAAGGUGACUGAUGAACAAUAUUUGUCCUCCUGCUUCUCCCCUAAAUUCUAAAACAUACAAAAAAGGUGUUUAUGAGAAUAAAUUAAUUCCUGGCACUGCUAGGGAAAAGGGAGUUGUAACUGGCUGUAUUUUCCAAGAUGGCUAUAAGAAUAUGUUUCAUUACACAUGCUUUUCUUACAAGAGACUCUGACACUUCCCAUCCAUCACUGGGGUCUCUGUUUCUUCUCCUGGAGCCUUAGUGGAACUGUGACAUGACUGCAGCGGAAGUGAAGCCAUGGUUCAUAAAAUCUGAUUCCAUUUCUGCCUGGACUUCUGACCGUGCUUGUGAGACUCCAUGCUGUGAGAAAGCUCAAGACUCAUGGAGAUGAUGUUCCUUCUCACACCCUAGAGGAGUUGGGCCCCAGCCACCAACUCACUGCGAUCCUAUGGAAGCCUCUGAGCAAGAGCUACCUAGAUGAACCUAAUCAACUCGCAUGGCCAUGAGAGAACAAUACAAAUGACUGUUACCACAGCCACUGUAAUUUAGAAUGAUCUGCUGCUCAGCAAUAAUAAUAUAGCAAUAGCAAUAGUCAACCAGAGCACAGAUGCAAAGUGGACCAGAGGUCUAAAAACUUGGGAUCAGACUGAAGAGGAAAACAAAGCCUCAAAUUCUAGAAAUUGAGGGAACAGCUUUAGAGUGCUUCUAGUUUAUCCAGGACAGGUACAGGGGACAGACAGAGCCCCAACUCUGUCUUAGGGUGUCUCCAUUCAGAAGACCAUUCAGUGGCCCUCCUCACCAGGCAACACAUUCCUGCUUCUCACCCACAAUAGCUGCAGGAAAUGGAUAAACCACUUAACAAAGGCACCAACAGGAAAUCCCAGAGUCUAAGAUGGGCACUUCAUGAAAACAUUCUAAAUAACUGAGAAAAACCCACUACAACAUAGAGGAAGCAAUUACCAUCUGAGGUAAACUAUUUCAGAGCAUACAACAAAAUAUAAAAUAAGCCAACACAUUUUCCAAGAAGAACAGAACUUAAUACCAAAACUGGAAGACUACACAUGGUCAUGGAUGCAAAGAUUCUAAGGUACAGUUUGCCCUCUGUGCCUGUGAAUCAAAAGUAUUGGGG